CUGAACCGUUGACACGAGUUGUUGCUGGUCCUCGAAAGGGGACAUGUGCACGCUCUGUCUACACAUCCACUCACACCUGUGCACUCUGUGUAGCUCUAUGGCCUUGGGGACUCUGUCCUCAGCUGUGGUUCUACAUCUUUACACACACACCGUAAUAAAGUCUCAUGGAGUGUAUGUCGCGUUUAACGCAAUACAAUA
This 198-nucleotide unclassified non-coding RNA is filed under the name uncultured Tomentella. Its description in RNAcentral is "sequence contains ITS1". Lineage: Eukaryota; Fungi; Basidiomycota; Agaricomycetes; Thelephorales; Thelephoraceae. The record is from RNAcentral.